UGCCAGACUCCUACGGGAGGCAGCAGUGGGGAAUAUUGGGCAAUGGGCGAAAGCCUGACCCAGCAAUGCCGCGUGAAUGAAGAAGGUCUUAGGAUUGUAAAAUUCUGUCCUAUGGGAAGAAACAAAUGACGGUACCAUAGGAGGAAGCCCCGGCUAACUACGUGCCAGCAGCCGCGGUAAUACGUAGGGGGCGAGCGUUGUCCGGAAUUACUGGGUGUAAAGGGAGCGCAGGCGGCCUUGCAAGUCUGAUGUGAAAGGCCGGGGCCCAACCCCGGGACUGCAUUGGAAACUGCGAGGCUGGAGUGUCGGAGAGGCAGGCGGAAUUCCUAGUGUAGCGGUGAAAUGCGUAGAUAUUAGGAGGAACACCAGUGGCGAAGGCGGCCUGCUGGACGAUGACUGACGCUGAGGCUCGAAAGCGUGGGGAGCAAACAGGAUUAGAUACCCGAGUA
RNAcentral lists this ribosomal RNA (449 nucleotides) under uncultured bacterium. RNAcentral's name for it is "partial 16S ribosomal RNA". It matches the Rfam family "Bacterial small subunit ribosomal RNA", at positions 329 to 792 of the family's 1533-position model. The record is from RNAcentral.